RNAcentral lists this ribosomal RNA (434 nucleotides) under uncultured bacterium. RNAcentral describes it as "bacterial SSU rRNA". It matches the Rfam family "Bacterial small subunit ribosomal RNA", at positions 355 to 787 of the family's 1533-position model. The record is from RNAcentral.
UGAGGAAUAUUGGUCAAUGGGCGGGAGCCUGAACCAGCCAAGCCGCGUGAGGGAUGAAGGCCCUAUGGGUCGUAAACCUCUUUUGUCAGGGAACAAAAGCGAGUAUGUAUACUAGUCUGAGUGUACCUGAAGAAAAAGCAUCGGCUAACUCCGUGCCAGCAGCCGCGGUAAUACGGAGGAUGCGAGCGUUAUCCGGAUUUAUUGGGUUUAAAGGGUGCGUAGGCGGCGAUGCAAGUCAGCGGUAAAAGCCCGGGGCUCAACCCCGGCGAGCCGUUGAAACUGCAGUGCUAGAGAAGGCGAGAGGUACGCGGAAUGCGCAGUGUAGCGGUGAAAUGCUUAGAUAUUGCGCAGAACUCCGAUUGCGAAGGCAGCGUACUGGCGCCUGACUGACGCUGAGGCACGAAAGCGUGGGGAUCGAACAGGAUUAGAUACCC